Apis mellifera (honey bee) is the source of this 8314-nucleotide RNA transcript. It is a transcript of the gene named RNA-binding protein Nova-1, with no coding region annotated. The transcript has 6 exons. NCBI's taxonomy places the organism in Eukaryota, Metazoa, Arthropoda, Insecta, Hymenoptera, Apidae. The record is from RefSeq and is a predicted model, not a curated record.
AAUAUUUCAUUGAAAGAUUAAAAGAUGCAUGAAUGUAAGGGCCCAAAGUAAGUCGCCCCUAGUUUAGGUUGAAUAGUACGUUCCUGCACAACGGAGCCCGCGAGGGCUGGUGAGAAGAAGAGAGAUAUACUAAUGAUCAGAAUUGAUAGAAGAGUGACAGAGAUAGCGAGGGCGAGAGAGGAACGUGAGGGCCGAGGCACACCAUCGAGUAUCAACCAGCUGGUUGGCAAGGCAGCCGCGAGCAGUCGCCAGUGAGACGCGGUACCCCGCGAGGGCUUUCGUCGUUUGUUCGUUCGUCUAUACGUGUGUCUAUAUGUCCGUCAUCUCCCUUCCGCUUAAACCUAUCGUGGUCGUGCGUACGUUCAUUCGUUCGUCCGGUCCGUGUGUGGUGCGUCUCCCUUCGCUUGCUUUCAACGACACUUGCCACCGGUCGCGACUAUCGUCUCUGUAUCAAAGUACAUCUCUGUCUUACUCUAUCUCUCUCUCCUCGUUUCUCUUGGCGUGCCCGACUGAAAAGACAAGAUGGCUGCCGACUCAGGAAUGGAGACGUGUCCCUCCCCGGAGAUUGCAGACUCCAGGAAGCGGCCGCUGGAUUGUGACGCGGAAAAUGGCGCGACGAAGAGAUCUCAUUACGGAUCAGGGGGAGAUGGAACAUAUCAUCUCAAAGUAUUGGUCCCUGGAGUGGCUGCUGGAGCAAUCAUUGGAAAAGGAGGAGAUACAAUUGCCCAAUUACAAAAAGAUACAGGAGCUAGGGUCAAAAUGUCUAAAUCCCAUGAUUUUUAUCCAGGAACAACAGAGAGAGUAUGUUUAAUUACGGGCAGUUUAGAAGCUAUAAUGGCAGUUAUGGACUUUAUUAUGGAUAAAAUUCGUGAAAAACCAGACCUUACGUUGAAAACAACAGUAGAUUUUGAAUCAGGAAAAACUACUGCAGAAAGGGAUAAACAGGUAAAAAUUUUAGUGCCUAAUAGCACUGCAGGAAUGAUAAUAGGUAAAGCAGGAAAUUAUAUUAAACAAAUAAAAGAAGAGUGUGGCUCAUAUGUUCAAAUAAGUCAGAAAGCAAAAGAUGUAUCUUUACAAGAAAGAUGUAUAACAGUAAUUGGAGAAAAAGAAAAUAAUCGUAAUGCAUUAAUGAUGAUAUUAGCAAAAGUGGCAGAUGAUCCACAUAGUGGUACAUGUCCAAAUGUUAGUUAUGCAGAUGUUAGUGGUCCUGUAGCUAAUUAUAAUCCUACAGGUAGUCCUUAUGCUCAAGCACCUACAAGUACUCCUACAUACACCUCUACAGCUGGCAUUAAUACAGUGAGUCUCUUGAAUGGUGCUGGAUUAAGUUUGAACUUGAAUUUAGGAGCUGCUAUUACAGCGGGUACAGCACCAGUGACAACGCAAUUAUUGGAACAUAUAAAAUUAAAUUUACGAACGGCAGGUUUUUCCGAACCUGCUGCUAGUGAAAUUUUAUCUGCUAUUGCUACACUUGCUAAAUAUAAUCUUCUUGGAAUGGGAAUUGGAAUGCCUUCUAAUAUGAGUUAUCUUGGAAAUCCUAUGGACAGCACUACAACUGCAAAUGGUUCGAAUAAUAAUGGUGGUGUAUUUGGGCCAAUUGGAACAGUUCCUACUCUUGGAUCUACGUCUCCUACACCACGUAAUACACUUGACAGAUACGAGCCCUUUGAUCCAUUCAGACAAAACAACACAGCUGCCAGUGCUAUUCAUCUAAACAACAAUUCAUUUGGCCUUGGCACUAACCAGUUAUCACUUGUAAGUAAGAGUCCUACACAGGUAGACGCCAACAACAAGGAGACCAAGAAAGUAGACAUAGAAAUUGCAGAGGUUAUAGUGGGAGCUAUUCUGGGACCCGGUGGUCGUGCCCUCAUUGAGAUUCAGCACCUAAGUGGCGCCAACAUACAAAUCUCUAAGAAGGGCAUGUUCGCUCCUGGUACCAGGAACCGCAUAGUGACUAUCACGGGUUAUCCUAAUGCAAUUGGCACUGCUCAAUAUUUAAUUGAGCAAAGGAUCAGUGAAGAGGAAGCAAAACGAGCACGUCAGAAUGCCCUCGCCAAUAUGAUCCAUUGAUUUCAAGUACAGCACUUUUGUUCAUCCCCAUUAUUGAGCUCCGUUAUUCAUCUUUCCACAUCUUGAGAUGAUGUUUACGGUAGCUCUCUCUUCCCUUCUUUAAACUCUCGUCCACUAUCACCUACCACCCGUUGUCAUCUGUCGCUACAUCACUAUAGCGCUUGCAUUAUCACAUCACUAUUCAUGCAUUCAUCAUGGUCAACAUUUAUCUAUCUUUUAAGAUUAUUAUAAUAUAUAAAUAUUAUAUGUUAUAUGAUAACUACUACAAUUGUUCUGUGAUACACCACGUUACGGGGCUUUAUCACAAAUAACACACGUACCACAUCAGAGUCACAUAAUAUAUCUAGUUGUAUGGUAUAAUAGGAUAUUGAAAGAAGCAUGAUAAAAUUAUAAUUAUAUUAGAAACGAAAUGGCACAAUUUGGCCAUAGUUGUUCUUGAAAAAUCGAGACAACAAUAUUAUAUGGGUAAUUGUUUCGUUUCAUAAAAAUGAAUCUAUUUUUUUUUUUUUUUUUUAUAUAUAUAGGAGCAUAAUCUUACUAUUAAUGCGAAAGAUAUUUUUAGUUAGAAGAUCAUACAGAACUCACAAAUUGAAUGACUUUAAUCUGAAAUAUUAAUAUCCUAAUGUAUCGCGCAAGUCAAAUUCUAUUCAUUUUCACAAAAUAAUAUAUUGCAAUUAUUGUAUUGAACUGUUCCUUGAACUACGAAAUGAUUAGGCUGUUUGAGCGAGUUUUUUGCUCAUAGUUAACAUAAUAUUGAGCGAAUUUUCUUCUAAGUACAGAGUAAUACCUUGGCAAAACCAAAGAUCUUACAUUUGUAAAGCAGAAAUAACUUGGCUGGAAGAUAAAUAUACAAAGGGAGAGCUAUUCUAUAUAUAAACAUAUAUUUAUAUAUUUACAAUGCUGGCUGGUCCAGCUAAAUGAUAAACAUAAUACUUUAUUGCCAAGUUUUAUUCUGAAUCCCAAAGUCUUUAUUUCUCAAAAUCUUCAUCCAAUUAUUACAUCGUGUAGUAUUUAGAUUAAUGUACUCAGAAAUAUAUAAACAUCGAGUCUCAUUCUUCUUUAUUCAUAUCUUAGGAACAGAGAAAUCAUUUUAUUAAGAUAUUAGGAUAAGAAUUACUCGAUUUAUCAUUGGAUCAAAACGCGAUCCUUUCGAGUAAUAUUUCAGUAUGGUUGCAAUGUGCUGCACAUUAAAAGUUUUGUCUAAUUAUUUUUAGUUUCAAGGCAUAUCAGUUGAAUACAAUUUUAUAUUUCAUGACACUUCAAACUAAAAGUUGUGACAUGAAAAAUUUUUUUUGUCAUUCCUUUACAUUAUAUAAUUAUUUUUGUUACAUAGAGAUAUUUAUAUUUAUAUACAACCAUUUUCAAUAGUUUAAUUGUGGAAUAUUGUUUGAGAAAAAUAUUCUAUUUUCUUCUUUAGUGUUUUCAUUUCUUUUCUAUGCAACGAGAUAAAUAUCCUGAAAAUGAAGUAAAUUACGAUUUCUGCAUAUAUAUAAUAUUCACUUUUAUAUAAAAAUUUAUAUAAAAGUUUAUUACGGUCAGCAUAUGUCAUACAUCCUUGGGUUCUGUAUGAUACUGCUUUAUGUGGAAUUCUAUUUAAGCCAACCAAAUCUUUGACAGAUUUUUAAUAACUGCACUUUGACGUUGAAUCAAAUUUUUAGAUAGGGAAUGGAUUUUAGCUAGAAACUUCGUUUAUGUUGAUAAUUAUCAAUAUCAUAAGUAACAGAAUAAAUAGCUUAUAUUUCAUUGCUAGAUAAAAAAGAGGAUACAGCAUCUAUUAAUAACAAACGUUUCAAAUCAUUGUUUUUCUUUUUGGGGGGGUAGGUAUUAGGAAAGGGUGAUAUAAGGGAUAGGCGGUAAUCAAUAAUGGGUUUAGUUAAAGUAUCUGAAAACGUUAGCUGUAGCGUCAAAUGAAAUAUAUAAGUGUACAUGAGUACAAUUCAUAGCUGGAGGCGCUGGCUCACCGCUCUUUAAAAAUAACUUGUAUAUUCAUAAAUAUCGCAUAACAUGAGUAAUAAUAUAUUACACACAGAGAGAAAAAGAGUAAAUAUAUAUAUUAUAUAUUAUAUUAUAUAUAUAAUAUAUAUAUGUAUAUAAAAAAGAUGCAUAUAUAUAUACAUGAAAAGUUUGAAUUAGAUUAUUAAUAAAAGAGAAUUCAUAUUAUCUAAAAUAUAAAUGACAUAUAUGUGUAUAUUUAUAUGUAUAUAUAUAUACACAUAUAUAUAUUCUAUAUAUAUAUAUAAAUAUAUAAAUAUAAUAUAUAAAAGAUAUAAUAUAAGUAAUGAAAUGAUAUUAUAAACAUUGUUGACAAAAUAUUUGCGUCCGCGUACGUAAAACAUAAUUUUAUGUUUAUUCAUAAAUUGUAUGUGAACUAUUAUUGAUUAAACUUCACUGUGUUGCCCAAAUACAUUGAAAAAGAAGUCACAGAUAUGAUGAAGAUGCAAACUAUUAUUAUAUUGCUGUAGAUAGAUCUAUUCAAAGAAACUUUAAUAGAACAUGUUACGAACGUCACGUGUACCAUUAAUUUAAUUUAUAAAUCACUUUAUUUUAAUAGCGAUCGUGCUAUUAAUAUUAAUGGCAGCAUAAUAUUUCUUUAUUGCAUCCGCAUAUGCAGUACUUUUCUUCGUUAAUUAAUACGUAUCAUCACAUUAGAUCUAUCAUUGGCGAUUUAUCGAUUUUAUCCUAUCGUCACUUUCUCUCUAUUUCUAUUUUAUAAUUCACAUUUUCUGACUGCCGGUAGGCAGUUGUGUUCCAAUUGACUCAUAUAAGUGAGGAUUUUCAAAAAAAAAAAAAAAAAAAAAAAUGGAUUUUAUAUCUCGUUCAUUUAUAAUACAUCGAUUCGUACAUUUGUCAUUUGUGAUGCUCAUUAAAUAUAUUUGUACUAAGAUACCUAAAUCUAAUAUUGCACUAAACUCGUACAAAUAGGGAAAUUGAAAAUGAAUUUACAUUUGAUUUAAUUAUCAAAAAUUUUGAUAUAUUUUGUGCUUGUUACAAGUAAUUUAUUAUAGCGAAGUGAAGUAAAUUUUUACCUCAUAAAAUAUUUCUCCUAUUAAUUUUUUUCUUUUUUUUUUCUUUCUUUUCUUUUUUUUCUCUCUUUUUUUAAAUUUUUCUCUCUUUUUUUACGAGAAGACAAAUAUUUUUUAUCUUAUGUUCUUAAAAUUAUAACGUUUCUAAUGUUAUCGAUCAGAGAAUAACAAUCAAGACUUUUUUAUUUUAUUUGCUGUAAUCAAAAUCAAAAAAAUCAAAUUAUCUUUUUUCGAUUCAGAGUCUAAAUUCUGUUAAACUUGUAAUAUGCACAUUAAAGUAAAAAAAAAAAAAAAGGAAUAUAUAUAUAUAUGAAAAUAAGAAAAAUGAGAAUAAAUUUAAAUAAAUUUUAUUCAUAAAUCUCUAAUACAAAUAAACAACUUGUAGGUAGCAAGAAAUAAUUAGAUUAGGUUACAGUUUUUCUCAGUAAACACAUUCCUUAGUAGAACAGAUUAUGUAUAAGGCUAGCUGUGAUGGAGUUAUGAGUGAGAGAGAAAGAGAGAAAAGUAGGAUGAAAGAAGGAGAUAUAUAAAUAUUCAUCAGCUACCAGUACGUAAAAAAAUUGCCACAAUAUGUUAAUAGUGUGUAAAAUAUAAAAUUUAUUUGUGCAGGGAAAAUAACUCGGUGAUGUAAAGAUUCAUCAAGGCAAGGAAGAUGGAUGCGUUUUAUUCGCAAUGAUAAAUGACGAUGUCGAUGUUGAAAUGUGCAUUUCUAUCAGAAUCAAAUGUCAUAAUAUCAAUUUUCCAAUGUUAUCACUUGGAACAUUCGAAAAAAAAAAAAAAGAAAAAAACAACUCUCCUUGCAUCAGCGGCAAAAUUUAAAUAACGAAUCAACAAUCGGAAAAUCAAAGUGAAUCCGAGAUGUGCGGAUCGAUAAACGCAACGACAAGCGAAUAUGCAUCACGGCUUGUAAGCCUAAACGUGAGAAAAAAACACUCUUAGUUUUUUUAAUCGAUCAACGUGAAAAUAAUUACAAUUUUUUAUUUAAUAAUUUUUUCUUGUUAUUUAAAGUUUACUUAGAGUAUACCCGAAACCGUGACCUCUUGGGCAUCACUAUGAUUGUUACUGAUGAAGUAUAUAUUAUACUAUAUAUAUAUAUACAUAUAUAAUAUAUAUGUAUAUAUAUAUACAUAUAAUUAGUUCACAGCAUUUGAAUUUACUCUAAAAUAAUUACUUUACACUCUAACCACAUUUAUUUGCAUCCAUAAAUUGUUAUUCUUUCAUCAUCAGAGUUAUUCCAUUCAAUGUUAAAUAAUUAUAAAUAUUAAAAAAAAACAUAAUAUAUUAACUAUUUUCACUCAUGAAAAAGCAUCGUUACCUGUAUGACAAGUGACCAUAAGAGCAUAAUAAACAAUCGCUCAUUAAAUGCAUUUUGUUGUUCUUCAUUUCAUGACCUGGCCACAUGUUCCAUCCAUCUACUCCAUCGAUCCAUCCAUUUGUCCAUUCAAUGUCGCUGUAUGAUCGUCAUACGCAUUCUUUUCUACUCUUUUUUUUUUUCUUUUCUUUCUCUUUCUCUUUCAUUCACCCAAGACGUGAUUAUCCGAGUAUCACGGAAACUUUUUAUUAUAUUAAAGUUAUCUUCUCUUUUUCUCUUUCUCUCUUUAAUCUCCGUUAAUUUCUGACAAUGGCAUCCAAUGAACUCCUGUGCAAUUGUAAUUUUGUCGAAAUUAGGAAGGUUCAAUCAUUUGCGAUCUAUCAACAUAUAUAUAUAUAUAUUCAUAUAUUCUAUUCGCAUUUGACCACGGUCCAAUUCUGUUUGACUUACGAUGAAGCCUUCCAAAUUUUGAUAGAAAGUUCACGAGAGAUGAAACGUCCUUUAUUAAGUGGUAGCAUGCGUACCUGUAAAUACAAUGAUGUACAAUUUACGCGAUCUCUAGGUAAGCUGUUCGACUAGUCUAUAAGUUUUUUUAUAAUGUAUCUACGUACACGAACGGAAACAGGAAAAACAGGAAAACAGAUGCGUUUGUAUUGCGAUGUUAAGUAACGUGUUAAUCUCAAUUCUUUGGUUUAUCUCGUGUUUUCUGCAAAGACGAGUUAAACCGAAGGAAGGAUCGUGCGAGUAUAAUUCCAUAGAUAUUUUCAAAAAAAUAUAUAUACAUAUACAUAUAUAUAUAUAUAUAUAUCGAAUGACAAAAGAGCGCAGAGAUAUUAUUAAAAUCAAAUUAAUAUCACCGUCAUUCUAUUAUACUCGUUUUAACUAUCUGUCGAUUCUAUCGCGAACUUUACUGUUGCUGUUGUUCUUGUUUUAAACGUAUCCUUACGUUCGGAAUAGCAUAUCAUUCUGAGUAUACAGUACCAGAAGAACUGGAAUUAUGGUUCUCGGUGCAUUUCGUCAGCGUACAAAACAGAAAAAGAUGCUGUUCUUACUAGUCAGUAUAGAUAAGGGAAUGUAUUUUUUUACACGAUUGAUUUGUAAUAAAGAUAUUAAAAAUGAAAGAAAACUAAUCCAGUUUAGAUAGAGGAAAUAUGAGAACGCUUGUUAUUUGAAAAAAAAAAAAAAAGAAGAGAGAACAAAGAUGAAUCGAUGAAACUUUUGUAAAGCAGAGAUCAACGAUUUUCCUUUUUUUUCAUUUCUAGUUUAUUUAGCUAAAUUUCUUUCAGUUUUAAAUUUUCGUCUAUUGAUUGGAGCAUCUUGCAAUGGAACAAAAUUUGAAUAUAUAAAACUUCUUCACCAGGUAAGUUGUAUAUUCUAUUUUCUUUCCUUUAUUUUUUUUGUACUCAUCCAUCUUUUAUUUUUGUUUUUUCUUAUCUUAUGAUAUUCUAUUAUAUCUUUCUUAAUAAAUCAAUUAUCAAUUGAUACAGUCAAAACAUAUUUUUUAUUCGAAUAAUAAAUGCACAUUCACAAGUGUAUUUAUAGUCUGUUGACAGCGUUUCUUAGUUUCGCAUCUACAAAUUAAUAUACAUACACUAUGACACAGAAUUUAUUAUUCUUCAUAAGCAAUAAACGUACAUAAUUCAUUUUCACUUACAAAAUAUCUAUAUGCAUAUCAUGCCGGUGAUUCGUUUUUUGUUUAAAUUUUCAUGAAGUAUCGUUUGCAUUCGUUAUUAUUAUACACACAUACUCGCAUUUGCUUCUUCUAUAAAGUUUCUCACGCAUCCUUUUAUAAAUGUGUACGUAGCUCUAUCUAACUAAAUUCUACUUAGGACCAUCGGUAAAAUGAACUUCUAAACAUUAUUGCCUUUAGUUCAUCCCACUAUACAAUGAUUCUAUGUUGCGUUUUUUUUUU